Molecule: long non-coding RNA, 1320 nt
Filed under: Malus domestica (apple)
Lineage: Eukaryota; Viridiplantae; Streptophyta; Magnoliopsida; Rosales; Rosaceae
Description: long non-coding RNA (MDOM_LNC015078)
Source: RNAcentral
AGCCGAAGAACCUCCGAUGCCAAAGUUAGAAUUUUGAGAGAAAAGGGUUUGGGGAGUUUUUGAGUGUUUAGCAAGUGUCAAGACCUAGGUUUUUAGAGGAAAUGAGGUUGAAUAUAUAGUUGUUUGGACCCAAAUUUACACCAUCGGCCCGUGCAAUCAAGGCCGUUGAGUAAGCAUAGCUCUCAAUCGUUGGAUGGAAAAGUGGAGAUAAUUUUUGUCAUUAUUAAAGGAUAAUAUAAUGAUUUUUAUCAUAAUAAUUAUCUUUUAAUAUGCAUUAUCCUAGCAUCCUAGCUUUCAUCAACCAGAUAAAUAUGAUGUGAAUUAUAUCCCAAGCGAGCAGUACAGUUCGAGUUGAUUUGGGAUAUCUGACGGUACAUGGAAGCUAAAAAUGAAUUUGAAAUGCAUUCAGAUAAGGUCAGGAUGCAUGCCACAAUAAAGGUGAUGGCUUUGGGUGAUGAUGAGACAAGCCUAUAAAAGCUAGGUUUGUAAUGAUGACAUAGGAAACCUAGGUGGGCUAUGGUGAUGGAAGUGAUCAAAUGGUUUUAAAAGGCUUCUGAUGAAGGUUUUUUCUUAUGAGAUCAGAAGCCUAGGUGGCCUAGGGGGAAUUUGAGUUGUAAUUAAACUCUGCAACGUUAUCUGACCGUGCAAAACAAGUACGUCAGUCCUAUAAAUACAGAUGCAAUGGCAACGGAAAGAGCCCCUCCAAUUCAACACAUAAAUUGCCCUGCGCAAACUCUCUCAACAACCUUUGAGAUUUUUAUUUUCUUUUUCCACCAACACAUCUUCAGUUUGGAUAAAUAGCACUGUGAAGGCAACCGAUGAUAUCUUUAGUUUGGAUAAACAACAUUAUUGCCAUAGAACCAGCCGACCGCGGAACACUUUCAAUUUGGAUAAACAACACUAUCGCCGUAGAACCAGCCGACCGCGGAACACUUUCAGUUUAGAUAUAUAGCACCGUGACGAGACCGACUGGUUAUCUAUCCAAGUCUCGGUUAAGAAAGACUUUCGGGUCUUUAUUGGCAGAGGUUAUCUCAAUAGCCUUUUUGGCAAGGUGAUGUGUUACAGUCUACUAGGGCUCGGCACAUUGAAUGCCGAGUUGUUUUAUGAUUGGAUACUCACAAGUAAGCUUCAGGGUUCAACAUUAUGACGGCUGAACCACAUUUACCAUCAAGACAUAUAUUUGUUUUGAGUAUCUGUGCCCCUAUACUUUGGUGUCAAUUCGGCGUGCUUAUACCAUUACAAAUAUAAUCACUUUGAUAAAAUCCGGCGCUGACGAUUUAUGAACUUCGUAGAACUAGUAGCCUUGUCUUCAGGCUCUAG